This 1146-nucleotide long non-coding RNA is filed under the name Numida meleagris (helmeted guineafowl). Its description in RNAcentral is "lncRNA (ENSNMEG00000004592.1)". Lineage: Eukaryota; Metazoa; Chordata; Aves; Galliformes; Numididae. The record is from RNAcentral.
AUGCAGCCAACAUGCAUUUAUGUGUUAAGCCACAGGAAUUUAAUCGUGAGGCAGAGCUUUUCAUCAGCUCCUACUGCAGAGACAAAAUGCUGCCCUGCUGAAGUCAGUGGCAAAGCUCAAUUUGGCUGUUAUACAGCCAACAUCUUGUCCUUCUGCUUAUUGCAUUCGGAGCUGGCAAGCCUGGUGCAGGGGGCUUUUUGCUGGGAACAGGGUGUGUGCGGGCUGAAAAGCACUGAGGAGGAACUGAGGCCAUACCUGAUCCUGGGGGGUGCCCAGAGCAGCUCUGCAAGCAAGGUUAGCGCCUUUGCUCCUCUGUCAUCACCAGUCCCUGAGAGCAAUCACCACCCACCAGCAGUUCCUCAAGAUAAGACCGAGCCAGCUGGGAGAAGAAAUCCUUUGAUAUUUCCCUGCCUCGCUGACCCACGGGGAACUUCAUGAGCUCCUGAUUCUGUUGAACAAAGGAAAUAUUUGUCAAAACAGCACUGAUCUUUAUGUUGUCUGAGCCACGUUGUUGGUUAAUGUCAAAUGCUAUGUGAAAAGUAGACAUGCUUGUUUUGUUCAUCAUCAGAACUGUUUUCUAUGAUGCUCUAAUAUUCGGAAACAGAGCAAAAGUGUACUUGACACAGUUACAUACAAACAUACAGUAGAUAAUUUUGGAAGAGAAAUGCUAUAUCCCAGAUUGACAUUGUGUUUUGAUUUGUAAAGCAUGCAACAUGAUUCAACUGAUGCCUUCAGAUCUCACUUCUACUGAUGCUACUGAAAAUCAAUUAAUUCCCUUGGCUUGUUUAAUUCUUAGACACUGUAACUAUGUUGGUUGAGCCUGGGAAAUGCAGUCAUUAGCUGUUCUUGUUGCUGAAGUAUGCUAAAGCCUUUGGUCAUUCAAAUCCCAUGAAUUCAAGGCAAAGUAGUAUUCAUAGGCUUGUUGCACUGACCCCAAAAGCUGAAAAUUGAGAAGUAAACUUCAAACCUACAGUUGCUUAUCUGAGCCAAAGUUCUAAUCUUUUGAGAUUUGCCCAUCACAAAUUUUAAGUGCAGAGUGGGGAAAAAAAGAGGAAAUGCAGACUGACAGACUGAUAGCCAAGCUAAAAUUUGUCAAAUAUAUCAUCUCUUCAAAUAAAGCAAGACUAAUGUGGAAAAUGGGAGGCA